CCUACGGGUGGCAGCAGUGGGGAAUAUUGCACAAUGGGGGAAACCCUGAUGCAGCGACGCCGCGUGAGUGAAGAAGGAUUUCGGUACGUAAAGCUCUAUCAGCAGGGAAGAAAAGGACGGUACCUGACGAAGAAGCCCCGGCGAACGACGUGCCAGCAGCCGCGGUAAUACGUAGGGGGCAAGCGUUAGCCGGAUUUACUGGGUGUCAAGGGAGCGUAGACGGCCGCGCAAGUCUGGAGUGAAAUCCCCUGGCUUAACCAUGGAACUGCUUGGGAAACUGUGCAGCUAGAGUGCAGGAGAGGUAAGCGUAAUUCCUCUUGUAGCGGUGAAAUGCGUAGAUAUUAGGAGGAACCCCAGUGGCGAAGGCGGCUUACUGGACUGUAACUGACGUUGAGGCUCGAAAGCGUGGGGAGCACACAGGCUUAGAUACCCUUGUAGUC
RNAcentral lists this ribosomal RNA (440 nucleotides) under uncultured bacterium. Its description in RNAcentral is "partial 16S ribosomal RNA". It matches the Rfam family "Bacterial small subunit ribosomal RNA", at positions 338 to 795 of the family's 1533-position model. The record is from RNAcentral.